CCUACGGGUGGCAGCAGUAGGGAAUCUUCCACAAUGGGCGAAAGCCUGAUGGAGCAACGCCGCGUGGGUGAAGAAGGUCUUCGGAUCGUAAAACCCUGUUGUUAGAGAAGAAAGUGCGUGAGAGUAACUGUUCACGUUUCGACGGUAUCUAACCAGAAAGCCACGGCUAACUACGUGCCAGCAGCCGCGGUAAUACGUAGGUGGCAAGCGUUAUCCGGAUUUAUUGGGCGUAAGGGGAACGCAGGCGGUCUUUUAAGUCUGAUGGGAAAGCCUUCGUGUUAACCGGAGUAGUGCAUGGGAAACUGGGAGACUUGAGUGCAGAAGAGGCGAGUGGAACUCCAUGUGUAGCGGUGAAAUGCGUAGAUAUAUGGAAGAACACCAGGGGCGAAAGCGGCUCUCUGGUCUGUAACUGACGCUGAGGUUCGAAAGCGUGGGUAGCAAACAGGAUUAGAUACCCGAGUAGUC
RNAcentral lists this ribosomal RNA (465 nucleotides) under uncultured bacterium. RNAcentral describes it as "partial 16S ribosomal RNA". It matches the Rfam family "Bacterial small subunit ribosomal RNA", at positions 338 to 795 of the family's 1533-position model. The record is from RNAcentral.